GAUGAACGCUGGCGGCGUGCUUAACACAUGCAAGUCGAACGGAAAGGCCCAAGCUUGCUUGGGUACUCGAGUGGCGAACGGGUGAGUAACACGUGGGUGAUCUGCCCUGCACUUCGGGAUAAGCCUGGGAAACUGGGUCUAAUACCGGAUAGGACCACUUCUUGGAUGUUGUGGUGGAAAGUUUUUUCGGUGUGGGAUGAGCUCGCGGCCUAUCAGCUUGUUGGUGGGGUAAUGGCCUACCAAGGCGUCGACGGGUAGCCGGCCUGAGAGGGUGUACGUCCACAGUGGGACUGAGAUACGGCCCAGACGCCUACGGGAGGCAGCAGUGGGGAAUAUUGCACAAUGGGCGCAAGCCGGAUGCAGCGACGCCGCGUGGGGGAUGACGGCCUUCGGGUUGUAAACUCCUUUCGCUAGGGACGAAGCGUUUUGUGACGGUACCUGGAGAAGAAGCACCGGCUAACUACGUG
RNAcentral lists this ribosomal RNA (467 nucleotides) under uncultured bacterium. RNAcentral's name for it is "partial 16S ribosomal RNA". It matches the Rfam family "Bacterial small subunit ribosomal RNA", at positions 28 to 507 of the family's 1533-position model. The record is from RNAcentral.